GAUGAAGAACGUAGCGAAAUGCGAUAAGUAAUGUGAAUUGCAGAAUUCAGUGAAUCAUCGAAUCUUUGAACGCACCUUGCGCUCCUUGGUAUUCCGAGGAGCAUGCCUGUUUGAGUGUCAUGAAACCCUCAAACCCAAGUUUUGGAUUUCGAUCCAUGCUUGAGUUUGGAUUUGGAUGUUUGCCGGUGUUGAACCGACUCAUCUUAAAAGUAUUAGCUUGGAUCUGUCUAUAUGACUGGUUUGACUUGGCAUAAUAAGUAUUUUGCUGAGGACAUCUUCGGAUGGCCAGGACCUAGACUACUGUCUGCUAACUAAACCAUCACUUUAAGUGCAUCUUUGGAUGUUACUCAUUGUGUAACUUUGACAUCUGGCCUCAAAUCAAGUAGGACUACCCGCUGAACUUAAGCAUAUCAAUAAGCGGAGGA
RNAcentral lists this unclassified non-coding RNA (425 nucleotides) under soil metagenome. Its description in RNAcentral is "partial contains 5.8S ribosomal RNA, internal transcribed spacer 2, and large subunit ribosomal RNA". The stretch from base 1 to 120 matches the Rfam family "5.8S ribosomal RNA", at positions 35 to 154 of the family's 154-position model. The record is from RNAcentral.